AUGUAUACACAUCAAUUAUAUUUUCAAUUAUACUUUGUUGAAAAGAUCAGUCUGCAAGCAUCUCUCUUCUUUCCCCAAGUGUCUCUCGUAGGCAGAGAACCUCUUCUUUCCCCACGUGUCUCUCGUCACAGAAGGCCGAGAACCUCUUAUUUCCCGGUAGCAGUACUAACACAGUCGUGUUGUCGGUGGUGCUUCCAAUAUAUAUUACGCAAACAACACUCAUUCCCAAAUAUGUUUGCAAUCAAGAAAGUUUUCUUUGGCGUAUUGGAUAUAGGUGCAGUUCAAAGUACAAGUGAGGGAUUGAGCUGA
This is a non-coding RNA of Vicia faba (fava bean), 309 nucleotides long. The record is from the annotation of a GenBank genome assembly. NCBI's taxonomy places the organism in Eukaryota, Viridiplantae, Streptophyta, Magnoliopsida, Fabales, Fabaceae.